UCUGAUGGCCUUGGUCACCUCUGUGACCAUUUGCAUUAAAUUAUGGAUAUUUUUUGUUGCAGUUGUCCUUUCACCAAAGUAUGAGCUGGUUAAGACUGUGCCAUGAACACACAACUGGCAGAGAAAGUGUGCAGGAGAAAUUUUGCAUUGAGAAAUUGUGGAAAAAUUGCCCCAGCAAGUCUUUUGAAAGCAAUGUCAAUCUUCUCUACUUUGAAAACAGCAGGACUUCUUAUCAGGGAAGUGUCCAUUAUGUCAGAAAAGCUACUACAAAAAGGAAGCCAGAAGAAAUGCUGGAAGAAGCUACCUGUUAUUUUAAAAUCAGCAUUGAGGAGUUCCUACUGUGCACAUGUGGAAUUAAAGCAGAAAAACUGCAAAGGACAACACAGCUGAAGACAGGUCCAGAGCAAACACUCAGUGCCAAGCAGUCACUCAAGAAACAGUUGUGGGAAACACUGAAACAAAGAGACUUUGCAGGCAAGAUUAUUGGCAUAGCCUUUGAAAAGAAGGAGCAGUGCUGGGGCGGCGCCGCGUGGAAUCGGCGUCUCCGCAUGGGUGUUAUUCUUUCCCACGGCAGGAGCAGAGCCAAAGCGAGGCAGGUGACACAACACCAAGCGGGCAGUGCCUGUGCCAGGGCUGGCAGUGGCAGCAGUAGCAACAGCGCAGGUGAUCUUUCCUGUGGCAGGAGCCGCGCGGGCAGCAGCAGGAGCAAGGCAGCUGAUGCUACACCACACGAGUGUUUGCUGAGGCUGCAAACUGCUGAGCUGCGCUGCUCAGACGCCAGUGGGACGUGGGGGCCGGUGGCUCAAACAGGUGGCAGUGGCAAAGACCAAAAAACAAAGAAAAACAGCGGCUUUUAUGGAGGGGGGGGUGGAAUCCCGGGAGGAGAUGGUCUAACAAAUCAAUGGCUAGAUAGGAGGGGUCUAUGGGGACAAAUGUAAACAUAACAUGGAGUGGGAAAGUCACAUACCAGUGGCAGAAAGGAAAAAUCAUAACUGACAGUGAAUUUUCUGGAUAAAAGGGUGUAAAAAAUCAUGACAGACAAGCCACAGGGGCAGGAUUUUUGAGGAUAGACAGGGAAAAAUCUGAAGAUAUUAUAACUGCCACUGGGAGGCAGGUGGUAAACAACUUUUGGCACAGACUAAACAUAUGAUCUUCAAAUCCCCACUGCUAUAGGCAGGGAGAGACUAAACCUCUUCAAAUCCCCACUGCCACAAUUCCUUCUUUUUUGUUUAAUUUUUAUGAUAGCGUUAAGGGGAUUAUGGCAAUGGCAGUUAAUUAAACUUCAGAUUCUUCUCACUAUUGCUGAGGGGGAGAGGGUUUUUGGAGUUGGUAACACUUUUAACAAACAGUUUUUUACAAACACCAGUAACAACAGAAAUAAAAAACAGAAUUAAGACA
RNAcentral lists this long non-coding RNA (1398 nucleotides) under Zonotrichia albicollis (white-throated sparrow). Its description in RNAcentral is "lncRNA (ENSZALG00000012457.1)". The record is from RNAcentral. Lineage: Eukaryota; Metazoa; Chordata; Aves; Passeriformes; Passerellidae.